GUUAAUUUGUAUAAGGAUGGUGUUCAGCACCAGGGACAGGUGUGUUUACCAGUGUGUGUAUGGUAUUCAGCACCAGGGACAUGUUGUUAAUCU
This 93-nucleotide microRNA precursor is filed under the name Branchiostoma floridae (Florida lancelet). Its description in RNAcentral is "mir-2060 microRNA precursor family". It matches the Rfam family "mir-2060 microRNA precursor family". The record is from Rfam by way of RNAcentral. Lineage: Eukaryota; Metazoa; Chordata; Leptocardii; Amphioxiformes; Branchiostomatidae.